Long non-coding RNA from Asparagus officinalis (garden asparagus), 1290 nucleotides. RefSeq lists it as uncharacterized. The transcript is spliced from 7 exons. Lineage: Eukaryota; Viridiplantae; Streptophyta; Magnoliopsida; Asparagales; Asparagaceae. The record is from RefSeq and is a predicted model, not a curated record.
ACACUCUCAUAUUCACCAAAAAUUUUGUGCGCAUGCGAUAUUGGCCUGUUUUAGAGUAGUCUUCAUCUAUUUCUGCACUGUUAUUUCCUAAUCAAAUAUCCUAUUCAUCUAGUAUUAACUCGCACUUAUUACAUAUUUGGUAUGUCAAUAUAUAUGUGCACAUGAAUCUAGGCUUGUGCCAAAUUCUCUAUUCAUUUUUUGAAAAUGCAACAAGAAAAUAAAGUUACUGCAUUUUCUACUAUCAAAUUGUUGAAGCAAUUCAUCCUAAGUUGAUUUCCUACCUUGGAGCUUGAAAUUUUAGGCAGUUCCAAUUAUAUCAGCAGCAUAUCUUAUAAUAUGGUACAUGCAAAGAUUUAUGAAUUUGGAUAUUUUCUGUUGUAUCAGUUACAUGGGUGUAUAAGCCCCUAGACUUAUCCUACUACUAAGGCCGUGUCAUGCAGAAGCAUAAUACGCUGUGAUGUAAACCAUGUUUCCGCAGAUGAUUUUUAGUAGACAAUCUAAAAUCUUAUUGUGAGAUAUCCAUUAUCUAGAUUAAAUGCUUUUAGAUUCCAGACUACUAUUUGGCGACAAUUUGUCCAAUUGGUUUAUUUUAUGCUACAAAAAGUGGCUUAUAGUUGAUUUGUUCGCGAGAGAUAGGCUAUAUGUCAGUCAAAGGUGACUGUCAUUGGUAUACCUUUAUCCAACCUUGGUUAACUUCUGAAUUUACUUAAUUCUUUUUUCUUGUAGAAGCAAAGACAUGGUCUAACCGUUUUUUUUGCAGGCUGGAGUCCAAAUUGUAGAUCCUGUGGUCGAUGUGUUCAAUGGACAAGAGAUGCCUUUGAAAGCGACAGAGAGGGAUGUUUAUGAAUUCUUCUCGAAAGCAGGGAAGGUUUAGCUUCUUGUAUUGACAUUACACAUCCAUCUGAGAAGAGUGUUCUGAUAUUUACAUGUAUCAUGCAACCACAGUAAAUGCUUCUGUGCCUUAAAUGAGGCCUAUUAUAAUGACUUUUUUGUGGCUCAACAUUCUUUUAUUUGGUUAGAGACGUGCGGCUGAUCAUGGAUCGGAACUCGAGACGAUCGAUCAAAAGGAGUUGGGAUAUGAAAUAUGAGCAGGAGCAACAACAACAUCAACAAUAACAAAUGAUGUCUCACUUAGAGUCACAAGUGAAAGCUAUGCAGGAGAUUUUUUUAGGCAGCCAUCUUCAUUGACUCCACAAACUCGAGAACAUGUGCAGGACUAAGUUAUCCAUGCAGGAUUAGGAGAGGGGUAGCUCGAGUCUUCUUUUGACGAUGAUUAGAGAUGAAAGAAUG